This 706-nucleotide ribosomal RNA is filed under the name uncultured Bacteroidales bacterium. RNAcentral describes it as "bacterial SSU rRNA". It matches the Rfam family "Bacterial small subunit ribosomal RNA", at positions 62 to 755 of the family's 1533-position model. Lineage: Bacteria; Pseudomonadati; Bacteroidota; Bacteroidia; Bacteroidales. The record is from RNAcentral.
UCGAGGGGCAGCAUGGUCUUAGCUUGCUAAGGCUGAUGGCGACCGGCGCACGGGUGAGUAACACGUAUCCAACCUGCCGUCUACUCUUGGCCAGCCUUCUGAAAGGAAGAUUAAUCCAGGAUGGCAUCAUGAGUUCACAUGUCCGCAUGAUUAAAGGUAUUUUCCGGUAGACGAUGGGGAUGCGUUCCAUUAGAUAGUAGGCGGGGUAACGGCCCACCUAGUCAACGAUGGAUAGGGGUUCUGAGAGGAAGGUCCCCCACAUUGGAACUGAGACACGGUCCAAACUCCUACGGGAGGCAGCAGUGAGGAAUAUUGGUCAAUGGGCGAUGGCCUGAACCAGCCAAGUAGCGUGAAGGAUGACUGCCCUAUGGGUUGUAAACUUCUUUUAUAAAGGAAUAAAGUCGGGUAUGCAUACCCGUUUGCAUGUACUUUAUGAAUAAGGAUCGGCUAACUCCGUGCCAGCAGCCGCGGUAAUACGGAGGAUCCGAGCGUUAUCCGGAUUUAUUGGGUUUAAAGGGAGCGUAGAUGGAUGUUUAAGUCAGUUGUGAAAGUUUGCGGCUCAACCGUAAAAUUGCAGUUGAUACUGGAUGUCUUGAGUGCAGUUGAGGCAGGCGGAAUUCGUGGUGUAGCGGUGAAAUGCUUAGAUAUCACGAAGAACUCCGAUUGCGAAGGCAGCCUGCUAAGCUGCAACUGACAUUGAGGCUCG